RNAcentral lists this unclassified non-coding RNA (377 nucleotides) under uncultured Oligoflexaceae bacterium. Its description in RNAcentral is "contains 16S-23S intergenic spacer region". The record is from RNAcentral. Lineage: Bacteria; Pseudomonadati; Bdellovibrionota; Oligoflexia; Oligoflexales; Oligoflexaceae.
UCCGGUUUAACACCGGCAGUAUCCUUAGAGUGCCCAACUUAAUGAUGGCAACUAAGGAAAAGGGUUGCGCUCGUUGCGGGACUUAACCCAACAUCUUACGACACGAGCUGACGACAGCCAUGCAGCACCUAUCUCCAGGUCCCCGAAGGGACGCUUACAUCUCUGCAAGCUUCCUGGGAUGUUAAGGCCAGGUAAGGUUCUGCGCGUUGCUUCGAAUUAAACCACAUACUCCACCGCUUGUGCGGGCCCCCGUCAAUUCCUUUGAGUUUUAGCCUUGCGACCGUACUCCCCAGGCGGGAUACUUAAUGCGUUAGCUUUGGUACUCAGAGGGUUAACACUCCAAACACCUAGUAUCCAUAGUUUACGGCGUGGACUAC